RNAcentral lists this transfer RNA (72 nucleotides) under Clostridiales bacterium. Its description in RNAcentral is "tRNA-Thr". It matches the Rfam family "tRNA". From Rfam's summary of the family: Transfer RNA (tRNA) molecules are approximately 80 nucleotides in length. The record is from RNAcentral. Lineage: Bacteria; Bacillati; Bacillota; Clostridia; Eubacteriales.
GCUACUGUGGCUCAGGGGUAGAGCAAUUGAUUCGUAAUCAAUAGAUCGGGGGUUCGAAUCCCCCCAGUAGCU